ACCCUUUAAUGUUUGAUGUUCUAACGUGGACCCGUAAUCCGGGUUGCGGACAGUGUCUGGUGGGUAGUUUGACUGGGGCGGUCUCCUCCUAAAGAGUAACGGAGGAGCACGAAGGUUGGCUAAUCCUGGUCGGACAUCAGGAGGUUAGUGCAAUGGCAUAAGCCAGCUUGACUGCGAGCGUGACGGCGCGAGCAGGUGCGAAAGCAGGUCAUAGUGAUCCGGUGGUUCUGAAUGGAAGGGCCAUCGCUCAACGGAUAAAAGGUACUCCGGGGAUAACAGGCUGAUACCGCCCAAGAGUUCAUAUCGACGGCGGUGUUUGGCACCUCGAUGUCGGCUCAUCACAUCCUGGGGCUGAAGUAGGUCCCAAGGGUAUGGCUGUUCGCCAUUUAAAGUGGUACGCGAGCUGGGUUUAGAACGUCGUGAGACAGUUCGGUCCCUAUCUGCCGUGGGCGCUGGAGAACUGAGGGGGGCUGCUCCUAGUACGAGAGGACCGGAGUGGACGCAUCACUGGUGUUCGGGUUGUCAUGCCAAUGGCACUGCCCGGUAGCUAAAUGCGGAAGAGAUAAGUGCUGAAAGCA
RNAcentral lists this ribosomal RNA (578 nucleotides) under Salmonella enterica. RNAcentral describes it as "partial 23S ribosomal RNA". It matches the Rfam family "Bacterial large subunit ribosomal RNA", at positions 2202 to 2779 of the family's 2925-position model. Lineage: Bacteria; Pseudomonadati; Pseudomonadota; Gammaproteobacteria; Enterobacterales; Enterobacteriaceae. RNAcentral also lists the same sequence under 1 other name. The record is from RNAcentral.